GCCUGGGUAGCCCAACUGGAAGAGGCGCGUGUCUUAGAAACACGAUGUUGAGGGUUCGACUCCCUCCCGAGGUA
This 74-nucleotide transfer RNA is filed under the name Phaeodactylibacter sp. RNAcentral describes it as "tRNA-Leu". It matches the Rfam family "tRNA". Rfam says of the family: Transfer RNA (tRNA) molecules are approximately 80 nucleotides in length. Their secondary structure includes four short double-helical elements and three loops (D, anti-codon, and T loops). Lineage: Bacteria; Pseudomonadati; Bacteroidota; Saprospiria; Saprospirales; Haliscomenobacteraceae. The record is from RNAcentral.